This 254-nucleotide ribosomal RNA is filed under the name uncultured bacterium. RNAcentral describes it as "partial 16S ribosomal RNA". It matches the Rfam family "Bacterial small subunit ribosomal RNA", at positions 524 to 776 of the family's 1533-position model. The record is from RNAcentral.
UACGGGGGGAGCAAGCGUUGUUCGGAUUUACGGGGCGUAAAGGGCGCGUAGGCGGUCAGCACAAGUCAGUUGUGAAAUCUCCGGGCUUAACUCGGAAAGGUCAACUGAUACUGUGCGACUAGAGUGCAGAAGGGGCAACUGGAAUUCUCGGUGUAGCGGUGAAAUGCGUAGAUAUCGAGAGGAACACCUGCGGCGAAGGCGGGUUGCUGGGCUGACACUGACGCUGAUGCGCGAAAGCCAGGGGAGCGAACGGG